UACGGGGGGGGCAAGCGUUGUUCGGAAUUACUGGGCGUAAAGGGCGCGUAGGUGGCCAACUAAGUCAGACGUGAAAUCCCUCGGCUUAACCGGGGAACUGCGUCUGAUACUGGAUGGCUUGAGUUUGGGAGAGGGACGCGGAAUUCCAGGUGUAGCGGUGAAAUGCGUAGAUAUCUGGAGGAACACCGGUGGCGAAGGCGGCGUCCAGGACCAAUACUGACACUGAAACGCGAAAGCCAGGGGAGCAAACGGG
RNAcentral lists this ribosomal RNA (253 nucleotides) under uncultured bacterium. RNAcentral describes it as "partial 16S ribosomal RNA". It matches the Rfam family "Bacterial small subunit ribosomal RNA", at positions 524 to 776 of the family's 1533-position model. The record is from RNAcentral.